Molecule: RNase P RNA, 287 nt
Filed under: Candidatus Cloacimonadota bacterium
Lineage: Bacteria; Pseudomonadati; Candidatus Cloacimonadota
Description: partial RNase P RNA component class A
Rfam family: Bacterial RNase P class A
About the family: Ribonuclease P (RNase P) is a ubiquitous endoribonuclease, found in archaea, bacteria and eukarya as well as chloroplasts and mitochondria. Its best characterised activity is the generation of mature 5'-ends of tRNAs by cleaving the 5'-leader elements of precursor-tRNAs. Cellular RNase Ps are ribonucleoproteins.
Source: RNAcentral
CGGGAAGACCAGAUGUCCGCUGCCGGGGUGCCUCGUGCGCCUUGGGAGAGGAAAGUCCGGACACCACAGGGCGGGAUACUUCCUAACAGGAAGGUGCAGCAAUGCACAGCCAGCUCCACAGAAACAAACCGCCGAGAGUCUUAUCUGAUGUAAAUCCGUUGUGAGACCACGGUUUUUAAUUUUGGGAGACUCUUUGGCAAGGGUGAAAUGGUGGUGUAAGAGACCACCGGCGAUGACGGUGACGACAUCGGCCAGGAAAGCCUUAUCCGGUGCAAUGCCAAAUAGGG